CCUACGGGUGGCAGCAGUAGGGAAUCUUCCGCAAUGGACGCAAGUCUGACGGAGCAACGCCGCGUGAGUGAAGAAGGUUUUCGGAUCGUAAAACUCUGUUGUUAGAGAAGAACAAGUGCUACAGUAACAGUUAGCGCCUUGACGGUAUCUAACCAGAAAGCCACGGCUAACUACGUGCCAGCAGCCGCGGUAAUACGUAGGUGGCAAGCGUUGUCCGGAUUUAUUGGGCGUAAAGCGAGCGCAGGCGGUUCCUUAAGUCUGAUGUGAAAGCCCCCGGCUCAACCGGGGAGGGUCAUUGGAAACUGGGGAACUUGAGUGCAGAAGAGGAGAGUGGAAUUCCAUGUGUAGCGGUGAAAUGCGUAGAUAUAUGGAGGAACACCAGUGGCGAAGGCGACUCUCUGGUCUGUAACUGACGCUGAGGCUCGAAAGCGUGGGUAGCAAACAGGAUUAGAUACCCUGGUAGUC
Molecule: ribosomal RNA, 465 nt
Filed under: uncultured Granulicatella sp.
Lineage: Bacteria; Bacillati; Bacillota; Bacilli; Lactobacillales; Carnobacteriaceae
Description: bacterial SSU rRNA
Rfam family: Bacterial small subunit ribosomal RNA
Source: RNAcentral